This 467-nucleotide ribosomal RNA is filed under the name uncultured bacterium. RNAcentral's name for it is "partial 16S ribosomal RNA". It matches the Rfam family "Bacterial small subunit ribosomal RNA", at positions 28 to 507 of the family's 1533-position model. The record is from RNAcentral.
GACGAACGCUGGCGGCGUGCUUAACACAUGCAAGUCGAACGGAAAGGCUCCAGCUUGCUGGAGUACUCGAGUGGCGAACGGGUGAGUAACACGUGGGUAAUCUGCCCUGCACUCUGGGAUAAGCCUGGGAAACUGGGUCUAAUACUGGAUAUGACCUUUCUCCUUAUGGGGUUUGGUGGAAAGUUUUUCGGUGUAGGAUGAGCCCGCGGCCUAUCAGCUUGUUGGUGGGGUGAUGGCCUACCAAGGCGACGACGGGUAGCCGGCCUGAGAGGGUGAUCGGCCACAUUGGGACUGAGAUACGGCCCAGAAUCCUACGGGAGGCAGCAGUGGGGAAUAUUGCACAAUGGGCGGAAGCCUGAUGCAGCGACGCCGCGUGAGGGAUGACGGCCUUCGGGUUGUAAACCUCUUUCAGCAGGGACGAAGCGUAAGUGACGGUACCUGCAGAAGAAGCACCGGCUAACUACGUG